RNAcentral lists this ribosomal RNA (513 nucleotides) under uncultured bacterium. Its description in RNAcentral is "partial 16S ribosomal RNA". It matches the Rfam family "Bacterial small subunit ribosomal RNA", at positions 28 to 507 of the family's 1533-position model. The record is from RNAcentral.
GACGAACGCUGGCGGCGUGCUUAACACAUGCAAGUCGAACGAAAAGAGGGAAAGAGCUUGCUCUUUCCGGAAUUGAGUGGCAAACGGGUGAGUAACACGUAAACAACCUGCCUUCAGGAUGGGGACAACAGACGGAAACGACUGCUAAUACCGAAUAAGUUCCAAGAGCCGCAUGGCCCAUGGAAGAAAAGGUGGCCUCUACCUGUAAGCUAUCGCCUGAAGAGGGGUUUGCGUCUGAUUAGCUGGUUGGAGGGGUAACGGCCCACCAAGGCGACGAUCAGUAGCCGGUCUGAGAGGAUGAACGGCCACACUGGAACUGAGACACGGUCCAGACUCCUACGGGAGGCAGCAGUGGGGAAUCUUCCGCAAUGGGCGAAAGCCUAACGGAGCAACGCCGCGUGAGUGAUGACGGCCUUCGGGUUGUAAAACUCUGUGAUCCGGGACGAAAAGGCAGAGUGCGAAGAACAAACUGCAUUGACGGUACCGGAAAAGCAAGCCACGGCUAACUACGUG